This is a long non-coding RNA of Vicia villosa (hairy vetch), 365 nucleotides long. RefSeq lists it as uncharacterized. The transcript has 2 exons. The record is from RefSeq and is a predicted model, not a curated record. NCBI's taxonomy places the organism in Eukaryota, Viridiplantae, Streptophyta, Magnoliopsida, Fabales, Fabaceae.
CAUCAUUCAAGACAACAUGGCAAUGGGCAUCAACAAGGUGUAUUUUUUCAUUGCUAUUCUUUGCAUUGUUUCAAUUAUGAUUUCAGGAGAAGCACAAGUUAUCCCUUGGGAUUAUUGCUAUGAAAAAGGACCUUGUCCAGGUGGCGAUGCUCAAUGUGCUGAAACUUGUAAGACAACUAAGGGAUUUCCUUUGGGGGGAAAGUGUGGUUGGACCGGCCUCUGUUGUUGUAAGGGUUGUUGUUAGGGGGAUUAAUUAUAUAUUUUAUUAAUGUUUGAAAAGAAUCAGUGUAUUGAUUUUUAGUUUAAAACUAAAAAUACAUUGAUUUUCAUUUUAUCAUGUGUUUUAACAAACUUUGAUAGGUACA